This 497-nucleotide ribosomal RNA is filed under the name uncultured bacterium. RNAcentral's name for it is "partial 16S ribosomal RNA". It matches the Rfam family "Bacterial small subunit ribosomal RNA", at positions 28 to 507 of the family's 1533-position model. The record is from RNAcentral.
GAUGAACGCUGGCGGCGUGCCUAAUACAUGCAAGUCGAGCGAACAGAUAAGGAGCUUGCUCCUUUGACGUUAGCGGCGGACGGGUGAGUAACACGUGGGUAACCUACCUAUAAGACUGGGAUAACUUCGGGAAACCGGAGCUAAUACCGGAUAACAUUUGGAACCGCAUGGUUCUAAAGUGAAAGAUGGUUUUGCUAUCACUUAUAGAUGGACCCGCGCCGUAUUAGCUAGUUGGUAAGGUAACGGCUUACCAAGGCGACGAUACGUAGCCGACCUGAGAGGGUGAUCGGCCACACUGGAACUGAGACACGGUCCAGACUCCUACGGGAGGCAGCAGUAGGGAAUCUUCCGCAAUGGGCGAAAGCCUGACGGAGCAACGCCGCGUGAGUGAUGAAGGGUUUCGGCUCGUAAAACUCUGUUAUUAGGGAAGAACAAAGGUGUAAGUAACUGUGCACGUAUUGACGGUACCUAAUCAGAAAGCCACGGCUAACUACGUG